AGUGAACGCUGGCGGUAGGCCUAACACAUGCAAGUCGAACGGCAGCACAGUAAGAGCUUGCUCUUACGGGUGGCGAGUGGCGGAAGGGUGAGGAAUACAUCGGAAUCUACUUUUUCGUGGGGGAUAACGGAGGGAAACUUACGCUAAUACCGCAUACGACAUACGGGUGAAAGCAGGGGAUCUUCGGACCUUGCGCGAUUGAAUGAGCCGAUGUCGGAUUAGCUAGUUGGCGGGGUAAAGGCCCACCAAGGCGACGAUCCGUAGCUGGUCUGAGAGGAUGAUCAGCCACACUGGAACUGAGACACGGUCCAGACUCCUACGGGAGGCAGCAGUGGGGAAUAUUGGACAAUGGGCGCAAGCCUGAUCCAGCCAUACCGCGUGGGUGAAGAAGGCCUUCGGGUUGUAAAGCCCUUUUGUUGGGAAAGAAAAGCAGCAGGUUAAUACCCCGCUGUUCUGACGGUACCCAAAGAAUAAGCACCGGCUAACUUCGUG
RNAcentral lists this ribosomal RNA (492 nucleotides) under uncultured bacterium. RNAcentral describes it as "partial 16S ribosomal RNA". It matches the Rfam family "Bacterial small subunit ribosomal RNA", at positions 29 to 507 of the family's 1533-position model. The record is from RNAcentral.